Molecule: ribosomal RNA, 896 nt
Filed under: uncultured marine archaeon
Lineage: Archaea
Description: SSU rRNA
Rfam family: Archaeal small subunit ribosomal RNA
Source: RNAcentral
GUGCCAGCCGCCGCGGUAAUACCGGCGCCUCAAGUGGUAGUCGCUUUUAUUGGGCCUAAAACGUCCGUAGCCGGUCUGAUACAUUCGUGGGUAAAUCAACCAGCUUAACUGGUUGAAUUCUGCGAGGACGGUCAGACUUGGGACCGGGAGAGGUGUGGGGUACGCUCAGGGUAGGGGUAAAAUCCUGUCAUCCUGAGCGGACCACCUGUUGCGAAGGCGCCACACUAGAACAGAUCCGACGGUCAGGGACGAAGCCUAGGGGCACGAACCGGAUUAGAUACCCGGGUAGUCCUAGGUGUAAACGCUGUGGACUUGAUGUUGGGGGUGCUCCGAGCACUCUCAGUGUCGAAGCGAAGGUGAUAAGUCCACUGCCUGGGGAGUACGGUCGCAAGGCUGAAACUUAAAGGAAUUGGCGGGGGAGCACUGCAACGGGAGGAGCGUGCGGUUUAAUUGGAUUCAACGCCGGAAAACUUACCAGGGCCGACUGUUAGAUGAAGACCAGCGUAAUGAGCUUGUCGGAUUUUCAGAGAGGUGGUGCAUGGCCGUCGUCAGUUCGUACUGUAAAGCGUUCUGUUAAGUCAGAUAACGAACGAGACCCUCAUCUCUAUUUGCUACCCGUCUCUCCGGAGGCGGCGCACUAUAGGGAGACCGCUGGUGUUAAACCAGAGGAAGGCGAGGGCAACGACAGGUCAGUAUGCCCCGAAUGUCCUGGGCUACACGCGCGCUACAAAGGACGGGACAAUGGGAAGCCAGGCCGAGAGGCCGAGCUACCCCGAAACCCGUUCAUAGUUCGGAUCGUGGGCUGUAACUCGCCCACGUGAAGCUGGAUUCCGUAGUAAUCGUGUUUCAAUAUAGCACGGUGAAUAUGCCCCUGCUCCUUGCACUCACCGCCCGUC